Molecule: ribosomal RNA, 453 nt
Filed under: Triticum aestivum (bread wheat)
Lineage: Eukaryota; Viridiplantae; Streptophyta; Magnoliopsida; Poales; Poaceae
Description: partial small subunit ribosomal RNA
Source: RNAcentral
AUGGACCAAUCCAUCCCUUUUUCCCGUGCAUAUGCAUCGGACUCGGAUGACGAUGGUCCCGAUGAACAAGUUGAUGUGGAGGGGUUCACGGUGAAGGAGACCGAAGCUUUUGAGAAGGUAUUUCGUCGGGAUCAUCGGACUACAUUGUUCAAGGAUGUUCUCGCGGAUGAAGCCGUGGUAGAUGGUGGCCAAUGUGCACCUCUUGGGGUUAGGCCAAGCUCUCACCGUGAUUUGGGAGACGACAGGAACCGGAUUGCUAAAGGUUCUAAGUUCGACACCUUGUUGGAAUUGAAAAUGUGGCUCGACAACUACUCGGUUACGCAUUAUCGUCCACACAAGGUGGUGCACUCGACGUCAAUGUGCGCUACACGGUUGCAUGUGCAUGUGAAGAUGAAAUAUGUCCGUGGAUUGUGCGUGCAAGACCAUGGAAAGGAGGUCCAAGUUGGCAUGUAG